GACGAACGCUGGCGGCGGGCUUAACACAUGCAAGUCGAACGGAAAGGCCCUGCUUUUGUGGGGUUCUCGAGUGGCCAACGGGUGAGUAACACGUGAGUAACCUACCCUUUGCUGUGGGAUAACUUCAGGAAACUGCGGCUAAUACCGGCUAAGAACUCCUGCUGCAUGGUGGGGGUUGGAAAGUUUCGGCGGUCGGUGAUGGACUCGCGGCUUAUCAGCGUGUUGGUGGGGUAGUGGCUUACCCAGGCUUUGACGGGUAGCCGGCCUGAGAGGGUGACCGGGCACAUUGGGACUGAGAUACGGCCCAGACUCCUACGGGAGGCAGCAGUGGGGAAUAUUGCACAAUGGGCGGAAGCCUGAUGCAGCAACGCCGCGUGCGGGAUGACGGCCUUCGGGUUGGAAACCGCUUUCGCCUGUGACGAAGAGUGAGUGACGGUAAUGGGUAAAGAAGCACCGGCUAACUACGUG
Molecule: ribosomal RNA, 468 nt
Filed under: uncultured bacterium
Lineage: Bacteria
Description: partial 16S ribosomal RNA
Rfam family: Bacterial small subunit ribosomal RNA
Source: RNAcentral